Non-coding RNA from Manis javanica (Malayan pangolin), 3347 nucleotides. NCBI's taxonomy places the organism in Eukaryota, Metazoa, Chordata, Mammalia, Pholidota, Manidae. The record is from RefSeq and is a predicted model, not a curated record.
ACUGGUGCGGCCAUCCGGCGGAACAACGGGUGCAGCCAUCCGGCGGAACCCCACUCAGCAGUAACAAGGAGAACUGAUCGUGGCGACGACGCGGACGAACCUCAAAUGCGUUUUGCUUAAAGAAGCCAAGAUCCAAAAGGGACGGAGCCAUCACAACCAGGAACCCCAAGUUAAAACACUCUCAGGAGAAAGCACCAAGUCAAAUCACUGGACAAGGAGCCUGCAGCAUGGAUUAAUGACCAGCACAAAAAUCUCACGGAAGAGGAGUGGAGGAGCCUGUCAUUGGAGUACAUGGGGAAUAUCUCACAUGUGCUGGGCCCGCACACCUCAUCUACGGAAUCCACAUACUAGCCUAGAGGAAGGCUUUGCGGCCCCUGACAGAUGAGGAAACUGAGGCACACGGAGAUCACAUGACCUGCCAAGGCCACAGAGCUGGUGGGGGCAAAGGCCUGGUCACCCCCUGUGGUCUGGCUCCAAAGUCCAGGCUCCUAGCCACUGGCCUCUCCUGCCUCUUGGUCCUGGAGCACCGAAGGAGAAAUCAGGCUUUACUUGUAAGAGGAAAUGAUUAGCUAGGAUGAGAGCUCCCUAAAACCUGCUCACUGUCCUGGGCCAGGAAGUCAGGCUUCAGCCUCACCCUGCCUUUGACCAGAUUCUCGAAGUGUCCACCCUCACUAGUCUCUCCAGGCCAUGGAACAAGGGUCCUGAAAGGGUCAGAGCAUCUCUCCGUGAGGGACAGUAAUGCACCCACUGUAAAGGGAGCCCUAAGGACACCAAGCUCUCUGACCAAGGGGAUCAUGGGAGGCCAGAGAGUGUGCUUUAACAAGACACAUACUCAAAAUGCAGACGAUGGUCACGUAACAUCAUGAGCUGAAGUCUUCCUGACUCAUUUCCAAGCAAUGCAUUUAACAGAAAGAUACAAGCCCGUUGGGCUGUCUCCGGGCCUGAGCAUCAGCGGUGGCAGUUAUGGCAACUUAAGCAAAUGCUCAACAUAGGCUGCCUUGGAAUAUGUUCCGGCAACUGCUUCCCCUUCUCAAACCUGACCCCGAGGCCAUGCACUUCCCCAGUCCUCUUAGCCUAGGAGGAGCCAGCCGGCCUGGCCAGGCAGAGGAAGGAGCUGGGCGCCUGGCACACCCCCGAAGCUGUCCACCUGCAGGAGGAGUGGCUCCCCUCCUGGUCUGCAUCAGCCUCAGGACUCAGGGGAGGUCCUUCCCCACCUGCAGCCAUGCUUGGGGGGCACCAACCUCACAGAGCCCUGCGUUCUCUCCGUUCCAGAAGGAAAAGCUCAGGGAGCGACGUCUCACCCCAGGAUGGACAAGGUCACACGCCUGGGUAACAUCGGGGUCAUGUCACUAAAACCCAGUCCCCCUCUCAGAAGCUUCUAGGGAUGGCGAGUGUGCUGGUGACAGUGCGAGGGGAUAAUAGUGCAAGGACUACUAGUGAUGGUGAGAGGAGUACUAGUGACAGUGCGGGGACUGCUAGUGAGUGACGGGAGGACUAGUGACAGUGACACUGUGGGGAGAGGUAGGAAUAGGAACGAUUAUUGAGCACUUGAUAGAUGCACCUGCACUGACAUUCAAUGGGCUAAUGUAUUUAAACACCUUAUUCAUCUAAUCCUCAAAACCUCUGAGGUAGGCAUUAUCUUCAUUUCUAGUUGUCAAAUGGAGGCACAGGAAGGGUGACUGCAGACGGUGAGUCAGUCUUUGUUGAAUGAGUAAGUGAACAGGUUGCCCAUGCCACAAACGCAGAGACAGCAAUAGAGAAGCCAUUAGGAUGGCAGGAGAUUAAAACCUCAGACGCGGUCUUCACAGGAGCUGCUGGCCUUCUGGGGGCUCAAGAACCCGAGCUCUUGUCUACGUUCUAGAAGCCCGCAUACCCGAGGACUCUCUGGCCUUGGCCCUGUGAUGGACAUGGGGCAAAGGCUGAGCGUUGGUGCAGUGCCACCGGCUGGGCUGGGCACGGCCACCCUCGAGCCCCACCUACCCCGGGGACCGAGGGCUGGCAGCAGCUGCUACUCCCUGGGUGACGUUCGACCCCCAGGGGCUGGGCUGCCUCUCAGGUGACAAGCAGUUGAGGAGCCAGUGUCUGGGCGUGAUGGCCACCAGGGACCUGGCUUCCUCCUGCAGCCUGCCUGUCCCAGGGUGAGACAGGACCAGCCGCUCACGCCCCACUGCUCCACCAGCUCUGCCUCCAGUCCCGGCUCUGCAAGUCCAAUGAGGCGGCCUCCACAGGCCCUUCUUGCUCCCAGAACUGCUCCUGCUUCCAGGCCCCACACAGGGCAAACGGCGGCUACCGACAUCCCCCACUGGCGAGACAAAGCGAGCGGCCCUUCUUGGCUCUGCCAAGUGCAUGCCCACCGGGAAGUGACCCCAGGGAGGGGCUGGGAGAUGCCCGCUGGCCUGAGCCAGGAGACAGUUCCCAGGGCUGCCAGCUGUGGGAGGGGCUGGGCAAAAUUAGGCUCCUCUUACCAAAAAAAGGGAGUCGAUGCCUGGUAGCAAACACCAGUGUCAGCUCAGUGCCCCGGUGCAGUGUGCUGGGGGAAGAUUGGACAAUCUUCUCCUGCCUCAGUCUUUCAUGGAGAGUCACACAUAGCUUAGUGAUGCAGAGGAGAAAAGUGCUCUAGUCAUGCAAAUUCACUCCACGUGCAUUUACAUUUUCAUCCUGCAUUUGGGCAUGGGGUAUUUUCAGCAGACUGCCAGCCUCCAAAGCAAACUAUAUUUACAGGGUGCCCCUGUGUACUCAGGGAAAGCAGCCAUGCUGUGGAGGAGAGGGCAGCCAGCCGCUGGGCUCUCUGUCCCUCUACAAACACUCUCACCCUGGUGGAUGGACCCUCCUCUGGAGCUGAAGCAGCUUCCAAUUUCUCCUCUCUGUGGUUGGAUAAUUAAAUCAAGGCAGGAUAAUAGAAUACGUUGAACAUGGAGAAAGAAGACUAGGCAAAAAUCCCAGAAGGGUAGGGGUCAGUGAAGAAAGAAUUCUAGCCUGACAUCUUGGAAAUAGGAUAUGCUAGUUUGCAAAUCUAAAUGCCCUAAACUGUCUUCAGGGAAUAGAGGGAAUCAUGGACUUUGUUAUCUUUUGCUCUGAUCUUACCCAACUCCCCACAUCACCCCCAAGACAGACUUUAUUCUUUAAUUCUGGUGUUUGGAGGACAUACCCCAACUGCAAGCCAGUCUGUGAAUCAGCAGUUUUUUCAAAGACAUGGUACCAGGUCUCUUACAUAUGUGUAAUGCAAUACUGUUAUUUAGCUUUUUCAUAUGAAAAAGUUUAAACAUAUAAAAGUAGAACAGAAAAAACAGAGAAAAAAAGCUCUUGAAUAUAAACAUGAGCAACUUUUCCUGAACACAUCUCCUUGG